This 922-nucleotide long non-coding RNA is filed under the name Equus caballus (horse). RNAcentral's name for it is "lncRNA (ENSECAG00000045893.1)". The record is from RNAcentral. Lineage: Eukaryota; Metazoa; Chordata; Mammalia; Perissodactyla; Equidae.
AAGUCCCCCAGUACAUAGUUGUGGGUCCUUCUAGUUGUGGCAUGUGGGAUGCUGCCUCCGCGUGGUUUGAUGAGCAGUGCCAUGUCCGCACCUAGGAUUUGCACCAACGAAACACUGGGCCGUCUGCACAGAGCGCACAAACUUAACCACUCGGCCACAGAGCUGGCCCCCAUGCUGUGACUUUUGAUUGGUGAAUUCAAUCCACUUAUAUUUGGGGUAAUUAUUGAUAUGUAAGGGCUUACUAAUACCGUCUUAUUAAUUGCCUUCUGGCUGUUUUGUAGAAUCAAUGUUUCUUUUUUCUUCACUUUCUGCCCAGCUUUGUGAAUUAAUGAUUUUCCCUAGAGGUAUGCCCUGAUGGCCUUCUCUUUAUCUUUUGUGAAUCUACUAUAGGUUUUUGCUUUGCAGUUACCAUGAGGCUUACAUAAAACAUCCUACAGAUAAAACAGUCAAUUUUAAGCUGAUAAUGGAGAUCUUGUCAAGAUGGUGGUGUGAGCAGACGUUGAACUCGUCUCUUCCCACGAACACAGCCAGGUUACCACAAUUUUUGGAAGAAUUACCCCAGAUUGAAAACUGAAAACUGGAUAAAAAGAACCCCCACAACAAGGGACAGUCCCGACGAAGGCAGAAGAGGCAGUAAUUCCUGCUGGAGAGGGAAAAAGCCACCUUUGGGAGCAGCGAAGCUUCUCAGCUGGCCAGGUGGGAGCCACCCUAAGGGGAUGAUGAUGAUGAUGAUGAUAAGUGACACUACCAGUGAAGAAAGAAAGGAUACACCAGGAAGUUGAUAAAUAGAAAAUCAGCAAACUAUAACUUCCUAACUCUAUCAAUCAAUCUUCUCCACUGUAUUUCAGAAAUAAUAUGAGAUAGCUUAAUUUUUGACUGGUUAUUGACCUGUAUGUUUACGCUACCAAAGAGAAAUGACUUC